RNAcentral lists this ribosomal RNA (442 nucleotides) under Micrococcus luteus. RNAcentral describes it as "bacterial SSU rRNA". It matches the Rfam family "Bacterial small subunit ribosomal RNA", at positions 28 to 485 of the family's 1533-position model. Lineage: Bacteria; Bacillati; Actinomycetota; Actinomycetes; Micrococcales; Micrococcaceae. The record is from RNAcentral.
GAUGAACGCGGCGGCGUGCUUAACACAUGCAAGUCGAACGAUGAAGCCCAGCUUGCUGGGUGGAUUAGUGGCGAACGGGUGAGUAACACGUGAGUAACCUGCCCUUGACUCUGGGAUAAGCCCGGGAAACUGGGUCUAAUACCGGAUAGGAGCGCCUGUCGCAUGACGGGUGCUGGAAAGAUUUUUCGGUCAUGGAUGGACUCGCGGCCUAUCAGCUUGUUGGUGAGGUAAUGGCUCACCAAGGCGACGACGGGUAGCCGGCCUGAGAGGGUGACCGGCCACACUGGGACUGAGACACGGCCCAGACUCCUACGGGAGGCAGCAGUGGGGAAUAUUGCACAAUGGGCGGAAGCCUGAUGCAGCGACGCCGCGUGAGGGAUGACGGCCUUCGGGUUGUAAACCUCUUUCAGCAGGGAAGAAGCGAAAGUGACGUACCUGCAGA